GUUGCCAUACUGCGCAUGCGCGGCUCAAACCAUGCAGGGCAGCAGAGGAAAAGCUUGGCAGGGCACUCCUGUCCACUGCAGGACUGUUUUCACUGUACAGCCCAUUGGUCACCUGUUGAGUCAUUAUUAUCAGGCGUGACUCCUGCGUGGUUGGAAUAAAAGCCUGAAGCCACGCUGCAGAUAAGUCUGAUGACCCCUGCCCUCGAUGUUUAACAGAAGCACAACACCUAGGCUACGUCAUGAAAAAUUAUCAGUUUAUCCUAGUCAAGAUUGGACUGGAUCUCCAGCUUACUCUGGGAAUACACCCUGGAUGCAAUGCCAGUCCAUCACAGGGUACCAUGCACACACACACACACACACACACACACACACUUACUCCCCAUUCACACCUAAGGGCAAUUUAGCAUAGCCAGGUCCACCUACUGCUAUAGGAGGUAUGCUAAAUUGCCUGAGGAAACCGGAGCACCCAGCAGCCACUGUGCUGCCUGAUAUUAAUACAGUUAAUACUACUAAUAUUAAUACACUAUAUGGCCAAAAGUUUGUGGACACCUGACCAUCACACCCAUAUGUGCUUGUUGAACAUUCCAGUCCAGAUUUAUUCCCCUUUUUCUGUUACAAUAAGCUCCACUCUUCUGGGAAGUCUCUCCACUAGAUUUUGGAGCGUGGCUGUAGGGAUUUGUGUUCAUUCAGCUACAAGAGCAUUAGUGAGAUCAGGCGCUGAUGUUGGGAUGUCGAGGAGAUCUGGGGUGCAGUCAGUGUUCCAGUUCAUCAUAAGGGUGUUCAGUGGGGUUGAGGUCAGGGCUCUGUGUGGGACACUCGAGUUCUUCUACACUAACCUUAGCAAACCAUGUCUUCAUGGAGCUCGCUUUGUGCACAGGGGCAUUGUCAUGCUGCAACAUGUUUCAGCCUCUUAGUUCCAGUGAAGGGAAAUUGUAAAACUACACCAUACAAAAACAUUCUAGACAACUCUGUGCUUCCAAACAGAGUUUGGCAACAGUUUGGAGAAGACGCACAUAUGGGUGUGUUGGUCAGGUGUGCAUAAACUUUUGGCCAUAUAGUGUAACAUGCUAAUAUUAUAUUAAAGUGUACCUUUCAAAUGAAUGCCAGUAAUAAUCUAUAACCCUACUAGAUUUAUGUAACAACUCAUUCACAGUGACUUAAAUAGUAGAUACUCUAUAAUCUAAUACUAACAAUAAACAGAUUAAAAAACAUUGCUGUUAUUUAUUGUAACAAAGACAAAUGUAUAACCAUUGAGAUGAUGAAAUUUUCUGUAAGCAUACAUUUAUUCAAGUGCUUUACAUUUAAAAUAAUCACAGAAUUAGUAACAGUGCCUCUUCCUUCCCUGCACUACAUCUCUCCACCAGUAGGUGUCGCCCCCGGGCUCUGUGAAUGAAGCCUCAAUCAGCAAAAACAUUAAGCUUAGUAUGGGAAGCUUUUCCCUUUGAUCUCUUUAAAUGUUUAAGCCUUGUGGCCCUUGAUGUGGUGCAUCAUGUGUGACAAAUACCCAAAUAACGACUAAUCUUUUAAUUAAAAAAAUCCUAUAAAUUAUUAUUUUUGGAACAUUUUGUUCACCUUGACAUGUAUUAGUUUGAAUUUUACAUCAAACAUUUUAAUC
Molecule: long non-coding RNA, 1615 nt
Organism: Pangasianodon hypophthalmus (striped catfish)
Lineage: Eukaryota; Metazoa; Chordata; Actinopteri; Siluriformes; Pangasiidae
Exons: 4
Source: RefSeq, a predicted model, not a curated record